Erinaceus europaeus (western European hedgehog) is the source of this 332-nucleotide non-coding RNA. NCBI's taxonomy places the organism in Eukaryota, Metazoa, Chordata, Mammalia, Eulipotyphla, Erinaceidae. The record is from Rfam.
GGAUGUGAGGGUGAUCUGGCUGCAACAUCUGUCACCCCAUUGAUCGUUAGGGUUGAUUCGGCUAAUCUGGCUGGCUAGCCGGGUGUCCCCUUCCUCCCUCACUGCUCCAUGUGCGUCCCUCCCGAAGUUGUGUGCUCAGUCAAAGAAGACAGCCUUCCCACAAUAGAGGUGGACUUGUCUUCGAUCAAGGGUAUAUGAGUAGCUGCGCUCCCCUGCUGGAACCUCCAAACAAGCUCUCUGUUAAGACCAUGUAGUUCACUUUCCCACUUUCUAUGUAGCAGAUGUUGGAUGUCCUACAAUGUCCACCAGUCAUUGAGACACUGCCUCUCUUU